GUUGUGGCUUAGUGGUAGAGCACUUGUCCGGAAUAUGUGAGGCCCUGAGUUCAAUCCUCAGCACCACA
RNAcentral lists this transfer RNA (68 nucleotides) under Marmota monax (woodchuck). Its description in RNAcentral is "tRNA.Ser". The stretch from base 3 to 63 matches the Rfam family "tRNA", at positions 6 to 65 of the family's 71-position model. From Rfam's summary of the family: Transfer RNA (tRNA) molecules are approximately 80 nucleotides in length. Their secondary structure includes four short double-helical elements and three loops (D, anti-codon, and T loops). Lineage: Eukaryota; Metazoa; Chordata; Mammalia; Rodentia; Sciuridae. The record is from RNAcentral.